Molecule: non-coding RNA, 86 nt
Organism: Aspergillus luchuensis
Lineage: Eukaryota; Fungi; Ascomycota; Eurotiomycetes; Eurotiales; Aspergillaceae
Source: Rfam
UGAUAUGAUGAUACAUUUUUAACCCAGAGCUACUUGCUUUGACGAACAAAAACAGCAACAACAAACACUCUAAUUUUUUGCUGACA